AUGAUCUGUAAGAUUCCUUCAAGUUCUAACAUUCUUUCAAUCAUAUGUCAUAAUUCACAGUCCCAGCUGCAUGGCAUGCUGGGACAUUCAGACAAGCCGGAUCAGGGACCUAGGAGCAGAAAGGGGCAGUGCUGUGGAGAAACCCCAGGGGCAUUAGCUCAGCCUGAGGAAAAGACGUGCAAUCAAACCAGCAAAUUCAUGGGGAUGUGGCUAACUCCAGGAUAAUAGUGACAGAGAGGGAUGAAAGAGCCUUGUGGUCAAAUUCAGAAGGGAGAAGGCAGAGAGUCAAGCCAAGGAGUGGACAUCAUCCUACAGAUCAGGGAAGUUGCCCAAGUGUUAUGCAGGGGAUAAUUUGAUCAGAGGGAUACUAAAGGCUUUAUUCCUCUCCUCUUUGACUAUGUAGAAUCCACAUAGUCAAGCUUCAAAGAGGUGAAUUAGGAGA
Molecule: long non-coding RNA, 442 nt
Filed under: Vulpes vulpes (red fox)
Lineage: Eukaryota; Metazoa; Chordata; Mammalia; Carnivora; Canidae
Description: lncRNA (ENSVVUG00000019855.1)
Source: RNAcentral